UACGUAGGGUGCAAGCGUUAAUCGGAAUUACUGGGCGUAAAGCGUGCGCAGGCGGCUUUGCAAGACAGAUGUGAAAUCCCCGGGCUUAACCUGGGAACUGCAUUUGUGACUGCAAAGCUAGAGUGCGGCAGAGGGGGAUGGAAUUCCGCGUGUAGCAGUGAAAUGCGUAGAUAUGCGGAGGAACACCGAUGGCGAAGGCAAUCCCCUGGGCCUGCACUGACGCUCAUGCACGAAAGCGUGGGGAGCAAACAGG
RNAcentral lists this ribosomal RNA (253 nucleotides) under uncultured bacterium. Its description in RNAcentral is "partial 16S ribosomal RNA". It matches the Rfam family "Bacterial small subunit ribosomal RNA", at positions 524 to 776 of the family's 1533-position model. The record is from RNAcentral.